Ixodes scapularis (black-legged tick) is the source of this 222-nucleotide non-coding RNA. Lineage: Eukaryota; Metazoa; Arthropoda; Arachnida; Ixodida; Ixodidae. The record is from Rfam.
UUCUGGCACGAUUGACAGAUUGAGAGCUCUUCCUUGAUUCGGUGGAUGGUGGUGCAUACCCAUUUUUAGUUGGUGGAGCGAUCUGUUUAAUUAAUUCCCAUACAAACUAGACUUUAUUCCAUUAAAUUGGUGCGUGGUUUUCUGCACUUUGCACUCUUAUAGAGACAAGCAGCUCCUAGCCGCACGAAAAAGAACAAGAACAGGUCUGUGAUGCCCUUACAU